GGAAUGACAUGCCAUGAAAUGCUCCGCUCUCUUCUCUUUUCCUUGCUGCCCCCGGGCCUGGAGGAGCACGGCCUCCCCGGGAACUGGGUCUUGGCCUCGCUGGACUCCUGUCUCCUUCCGAGGGUUGAGCCGGGGAGCCAGAAACAAGCGGCCAGGCGAGGCAAAAGCCCGGGCUCGAGCCCCGCUCAGCCACAGCCAGCUGGCUGAUGGUCACCUCACUUCUCUGAGCCUCCGAAUCGUUUUCUGUGAAAUUGUCGUUGCACAAACACCGAGCUGAGGGCAAGCUCUCUCUAAAGCUAGGACACGGCCCUGCCCACAGGUCUGUGGAGAAGGCAGGGCCCCUCCUACCCCUUCACUAGGUCCCGACUCCAGACCCGAGGCCUUUUUUCAGCCUGGCUUUCCCCUGCCAAGACCUGGCUGCUCAGACAGGACUCGCCCAGGCCGUGGUAAUUUGUGGAAGAGCCACACUCAAGGGGCCAAAGAGCCGCAUGUGGCUUGUGAGCCGCAGUUUGCCGACCACGGCGCUAACCGGACCCCUGCUGUGUCCAGGUAAAUGUAACAAGAGAACAUAUCUGCCUGCGUGCUUCUGUAUGCUGACAUUAGCUCUGGAAACACACAAGGACCAGGUAACUUGCAGGAGCCUGUGGAAGAGGAACUGGACAGCUGUUUCCCUUUUUGUACAUUUUGAGUGUUGUAUCAUAUGCAUAUAUUAUCUAUUCAAAAAAUAAAAUAAUUAAAACAA
Molecule: long non-coding RNA, 742 nt
Organism: Eptesicus fuscus (big brown bat)
Lineage: Eukaryota; Metazoa; Chordata; Mammalia; Chiroptera; Vespertilionidae
Exons: 6
Source: RefSeq, a predicted model, not a curated record